UUGUCUUGUAAUUGGAAUGAUGGUGACCCAAACCCUCACCAGAGUAGCAAUUGGAGGGCAAGUCUGGUGCCAGCAGCCGCGGUAAUUCCAGCUCCAAUAGCGUAUAUUAAACUUGUUGCAGUUAAAAAGCUCGUAGUUGUAUUUUUGCGUUGACGGUUUGACCAUUUGGUUGGUUAUUUCGUUUUCGCUUUUGGGAAUUUCCCUUUUUACUUUGAGAAAAUUAGAGUGUUUCAAGCAGACUUUUGUCUUGAAUACUUCAGCAUGGAAUAAUAGAGUAGGACUUUGGUUCUAUUUUGUUGGUUAUUGAACCUUAGUAAUGGUUAAUAGGAACGGUUGGGGGCAUUCGUAUUUAACUGUCAGAGGUGAAAUUCUUAGAUUUGUUAAAGACGAACUACUGCGAAAGCAUUUGCCAAGGACGUUUCCAUUAAUCAAGAACGAAAGUA
Molecule: ribosomal RNA, 443 nt
Filed under: Babesia canis canis
Lineage: Eukaryota; Apicomplexa; Aconoidasida; Piroplasmida; Babesiidae
Description: SSU rRNA
Rfam family: Eukaryotic small subunit ribosomal RNA
Source: RNAcentral